AGAGUUUGAUCAUGGCUCAGGACGAACGCUGGCGGCACGCUUAGCACAUGCAAGUCGAACGAGAGAAGAGGAGCUUGCUUUUCUGAUCUAGUGGCGGACGGGUGAGUAACACGUGAGCAAUCUGCCUUUCAGAGGGGGAUACCGAUUGGAAACGAUCGUUAAUACCGCAUAACAUAAUUGAACCGCAUGAUUUGAUUAUCAAAGAUUUAUCGCUGAAAGAUGAGCUCGCGUCUGAUUAGCUAGCUGGUAAGGUAACGGCUUACCAAGGCGACGAUCAGUAGCCGGACUGAGAGGUUGAUCGGCCACAUUGGGACUGAGACACGGCCCAGACUCCUACGGGAGGCAGCAGUGGGGAAUAUUGCACAAUGGAGGAAACUCUGAUGCAGCGAUGCCGCGUGAGGGAAGAAGGUUUUAGGAUUGUAAACCUCUGUCUUCAGGGACGAAAAAAGACGGUACCUGAGGAGGAAGCUCCGGCUAACUACGUGCCAGCAGCCGCGGUAAUACGUAGGGAGCGAGCGUUGUCCGGAAUUACUGGGUGUAAAGGGAGCGUAGGCGGGAUCGCAAGUCAGAUGUGAAAACUAUGGGCUUAACCCAUAAACUGCAUUUGAAACUGUGGUUCUUGAGUGAAGUAGAGGUAAGCGGAAUUCCUAGUGUAGCGGUGAAAUGCGUAGAUAUUAGGAGGAACAUCAGUGGCGAAGGCGGCUUACUGGGCUUUAACUGACGCUGAGGCUCGAAAGCGUGGGGAGCAAACAGGAUUAGAUACCCUGGUAGUCCACGCCGUAAACGAUGAUUACUAGGUGUGGGGGGACUGACCCCUUCCGUGCCGCAGCAAACGCAAUAAGUAAUCCACCUGGGGAGUACGACCGCAAGGUUGAAACUCAAAGGAAUUGACGGGGGCCCGCACAAGCAGUGGAGUAUGUGGAUUAAUUCGAAGCAACGCGAAGAACCUUACCAGGUCUUGACAUCGUAUGCAUAGCUCAGAGAUGAGUGAAAUCUCUUCGGAGACAUAUAGACAGGUGGUGCAUGGUUGUCGUCAGCUCGUGUCGUGAGAUGUUGGGUUAAGUCCCGCAACGAGCGCAACCCUUACUGUUAGUUGCUACGCAAGAGCACUCUAGCAGGACUGCCGUUGACAAAACGGAGGAAGGUGGGGAUGACGUCAAAUCAUCAUGCCCCUUAUGACCUGGGCCUCACACGUACUACAAUGGCUGUCAACAGAGGGAAGCAAAGCCGCGAGGUGGAGCGAACCCCUAAAAGCAGUCUUAGUUCGGAUUGUAGGCUGCAACCCGCCUACAUGAAGUCGGAAUUGCUAGUAAUCGCAGAUCAGCAUGCUGCGGUGAAUACGUUCCCGGGCCUUGUACACACCGCCCGUCACGCCAUGGGAGUCGGUAACACCCGAAGCCUGUAGUCUAACCGCAAGGAGGACGCAGUCGAAGGUGGGAUUGAUGACUGGGGCGAAGUCGUAACAAGGUA
RNAcentral lists this ribosomal RNA (1470 nucleotides) under metagenome. RNAcentral's name for it is "bacterial SSU rRNA". It matches the Rfam family "Bacterial small subunit ribosomal RNA". The record is from RNAcentral.